RNAcentral lists this ribosomal RNA (231 nucleotides) under uncultured bacterium. RNAcentral's name for it is "partial 16S ribosomal RNA". It matches the Rfam family "Bacterial small subunit ribosomal RNA", at positions 118 to 346 of the family's 1533-position model. The record is from RNAcentral.
UGAGGAACAUGACCUUCGGCGGGGGAUAGCCGGCCCAACGGCCGGGUAAUACCGCGUACGACCACUCUGGGACAUCCCUCGGUGGUGAAAGCAGCAAUGCGCCGAUGGAGUGCCUCGCGGCCUAUCAGCUAGUUGGUGAGGUAACGGCUCACCAAGGCGACGACGGGUAGCUGGUCUGAGAGGAUGGCCAGCCACAUUGGGACUGAGACACCGGCCCAGACCUCUACGGGA